This 253-nucleotide ribosomal RNA is filed under the name uncultured bacterium. RNAcentral's name for it is "partial 16S ribosomal RNA". It matches the Rfam family "Bacterial small subunit ribosomal RNA", at positions 524 to 776 of the family's 1533-position model. The record is from RNAcentral.
GACGUAGGAUGCGAGCGUUAUUCGGAUUUAUUGGGCGUAAAGCGUGCGUAGGCGGCUGUUUAAGUCUGGUGUUAAAGCUAGGGGCUCAACCCCUGUGGUGCAUCGGAUACUGGGCAGCUUGAGUGCGGUAGGGGAAGGUGGAAUUCCGAGUGUAGCGGUGAAAUGCGUAGAUAUUCGGAAGAACACCGGUGGCGAAGGCGACCUUCUGGGCCGCAACUGACGCUGAGGCACGAAAGCCUGGGGAGCAAACAGG